RNAcentral lists this ribosomal RNA (305 nucleotides) under uncultured bacterium. Its description in RNAcentral is "partial 16S ribosomal RNA". It matches the Rfam family "Bacterial small subunit ribosomal RNA", at positions 508 to 807 of the family's 1533-position model. The record is from RNAcentral.
ACAGCAGUCGCCGCGGUAAUACGAAGGGUGCAAGCGUUAAUCGGAAUUACUGGGCGUAAAGCGUGCGUAGGCGGUUUGUUAAGUCUGCUGUGAAAUCCCCGGGCUCAACCUGGGAAUGGCAGUGGAUACUGGCAAGCUAGAGUGUGUCAGAGGAUGGUGGAAUUCCCGGUGUAGCGGUGAAAUGCGUAGAGAUCGGGAGGAACAUCAGUGGCGAAGGCGGCCAUCUGGGACAACACUGACGCUGAGGCACGAAAGCGUGGGGAGCAAACAGGAUUAGAUACCCCCGUAGUCCCUGUCUCUUAUAC